UCACUUUGUUCCGAACACCUCUAAAUACUUCUAAAACACGCAAUUAACUAUCCCCAUGCUACCAAUUUAAUUCGGGGACAACACAAUUUAUAUUUUAGCAUUACUUUGAUCAAUUUGAUCAAAGUUAGCUUCGUAGUCGGAGAUCGAUAUAUUACAGUAUUAAUCCCUCUCCAGUCGUAGUCGGAGAUUGAUAUAAUUUUUUCUCUGAAAAUACUAAAUAUUUUUAUUUUCUCUCAGAAAAUUGACUGUUUCUGGUUGCAACAAUUAAUCAUAUUAAUAGGUUCCUUUUUUACUUUGAAUUUGAUCUUUUAUUUGUUUUCUCCAAUUUUCCUAUUGUAUAUUACAUUUUAAAUUAAUAUGAAUCUUUUUUAUUAGAAAUUUCUUGUCUCUUUAUCUAUAAUUGAUUGUCUCAGAUUUUGUAAGUUUCUUGGCCUAAUUUUUACGUAUAUACUUACUUUUUUGCAGGUUUUUUUACACUGUUACAGCUAUAAAUUUCGUUGUAUCUAUGGCUGCUGCUGUUGCUAUUUCUUCAGUUGCUUCUGCUUUUUUUUUAUUCAAUUUUUUUCCUCUUAUGUAAUUACCGUUUCUUCUUUCUUUACCUUUUUUCACAAGAUAUCAAAUAUUUCUUCAAGUUAUUUAUACAUCAAAUUUUAUUUUCUUCAGAAAAGAAUUUUAAUAUAAAAACGCAAGUUAAAUAUUGAAUAUUAUCUACCCGCAGUAUUGUGCGGGUCACUGCACUAGUAUAUACUAUGUGAUAAGUACGUAAAGUGCCUCCACAA
RNAcentral lists this long non-coding RNA (779 nucleotides) under Ananas comosus (pineapple). Its description in RNAcentral is "long non-coding RNA (ACOM_LNC022434)". Lineage: Eukaryota; Viridiplantae; Streptophyta; Magnoliopsida; Poales; Bromeliaceae. The record is from RNAcentral.